Molecule: ribosomal RNA, 377 nt
Filed under: uncultured eukaryote
Lineage: Eukaryota
Description: partial 18S ribosomal RNA
Rfam family: Eukaryotic small subunit ribosomal RNA
Source: RNAcentral
AAUAGCGUAUAUUUAAGUUGUUGCAGUUAAAAAGCUCGUAGUUGGAUUUCGGGUGGGACGCAGCGGUCUCGCAUUGCGUUUGUACUGCUGCAGCCCUCCUUCUUGCCGGGGGCGGCCUCUCGGACUUCACUGUCUGGGGGUCAGAAUCGGCGAUGUUACUUUGAGUAAAUUAGAGUGUUCAAAGCAAGCUUACGCUCUGAAUAUAAUAGCAUGGGAUAACACGACAGGACUCUGGCCUAUCGUGUUGGUCUAUAGGACCAGAGUAAUGAUUAAGAGGGACAGUCGGGGGCAUUCGUAUUCCGUUGUCAGAGGUGAAAUUCUUGGAUUUACGGAAGACGAACAUCUGCGAAAGCAUUUGCCAAGGAUGUUUUCAUUGA